GUGCGAUAAGUAGUGUGAAUUGCAGAAUUCCGUGAAUCAUCGAAUCUUUGAACGCAAAUUGCACUCUCUGGUAUUCCGGAGAGUAUGCCUGUUUGAGGGUCGGUUUAAAUAAAUUAAUCGACAUGCUCAUUUUGCGGCAUGCCGGAAUUGAGUUUUUCUUAACCCGUUUGAGGUUUAAGUGACUUAAAAUUCAAUUAAAAUCAUCCUUCGGUAUGAUUACGUACAUAAUAAUUUUUGUCGUUUGAGUGUUGAAGGUAACUUAUUAGGCGUGACCAUUCUAAUGGGAUUUCGCGUCUAUAAUUUUUCGAGUAACGACCUCAAAUCAGGUAAGAGUACCCGCUGAACUUAA
RNAcentral lists this unclassified non-coding RNA (349 nucleotides) under uncultured Glomeromycotina. Its description in RNAcentral is "partial contains 5.8S ribosomal RNA, internal transcribed spacer 2, and large subunit ribosomal RNA". The stretch from base 1 to 102 matches the Rfam family "5.8S ribosomal RNA", at positions 53 to 154 of the family's 154-position model. The record is from RNAcentral. Lineage: Eukaryota; Fungi; Glomeromycota.